UACGGGGGGGGCAAGCGUUGUUCGGAAUUACUGGGCGUAAAGGGCUCGUAGGCGGCCAACUAAGUCAGACGUGAAAUCCCUCGGCUUAACCGGGGAACUGCCUCUGAUACUGGAUGGCUUGAGAUUGGGAGAGGGAUGCCGAAUUCCAGGUGUAGCGGUGAAAUGCGUAGAUAUCUGGAGGAACACCGGUGGCGAAGGCGGCAUCCUGGACCAACACUGACGCUGAGGAGCGAAAGCCAGGGGAGCAAACGGG
Molecule: ribosomal RNA, 253 nt
Filed under: uncultured bacterium
Lineage: Bacteria
Description: partial 16S ribosomal RNA
Rfam family: Bacterial small subunit ribosomal RNA
Source: RNAcentral